Molecule: long non-coding RNA, 658 nt
Filed under: Mytilus galloprovincialis (Mediterranean mussel)
Lineage: Eukaryota; Metazoa; Mollusca; Bivalvia; Mytilida; Mytilidae
Source: RNAcentral
AAGACCUGGAUGCUUCAUACUUUGUAUAUAGAUGCCUCAUGUUACGAAGUUUCCGUCAGUCACAUGUCCAAUGUCCUUGACCUCAUUUUCAUGGUUCAGUGACCACUUGAAAAAAAAGUUCAAAUUUUUUGUAAUGUUGAAUUCUCUCUUAUUAUAAGUAAUAGGAUAACUAUAUUUGAUAUGUGCGUACCUUGCAAGGUUCUCAUGUCUGUCAGACAGUUUUCACUUGACCUCGACCUCAUUUCAUGGAUCAGUGAACAAGGUUAAGUUUUGGUGGUCAAGUCCAUAUCUCAGAUACUAUAAGCAAUAGGGCUAGUAUAUUCAGUGUAUGGAAGGACUGUAAGGUGUACAUGUCCAACUGGCAGGUGUCAUCUGACCUUGACCUCAUUUUCAUGGUUCAGUGGUUAUAGUUAAAUUUUUGUGUUUUGGUCUGUUUUUCUCAUACUAUAUGCAAUAGGUCUACUAUAUUUGUUGUAUGGAACGAUUGUAAGGUGUACAUGUCUAGCGGGCAGAUGUCAUGUGACCUUGACCUCAUUUUCAUGUUCAGUGGUCAAAGUUAAAUUUUGUGUUUUGGUCUGUUUUUCUCAUACUAUAUGCAAUAGGUCUACUAUAUUUGUUGUAUGGAACGAUUGUAAGGUGUACAUGUCUAGCGGGCAGA